Molecule: ribosomal RNA, 460 nt
Filed under: Campylobacter coli
Lineage: Bacteria; Pseudomonadati; Campylobacterota; Epsilonproteobacteria; Campylobacterales; Campylobacteraceae
Description: bacterial SSU rRNA
Rfam family: Bacterial small subunit ribosomal RNA
Source: RNAcentral
UCAGCUCGUGUCGUGAGAUGUUGGGUUAAGUCCCGCAACGAGCGCAACCCACGUAUUUAGUUGCUAACGGUUCGGCCGAGCACUCUAAAUAGACUGCCUUCGUAAGGAGGAGGAAGGUGUGGACGACGUCAAGUCAUCAUGGCCCUUAUGCCCAGGGCGACACACGUGCUACAAUGGCAUAUACAAUGAGACGCAAUACCGCGAGGUGGAGCAAAUCUAUAAAAUAUGUCCCAGUUCGGAUUGUUCUCUGCAACUCGAGAGCAUGAAGCCGGAAUCGCUAGUAAUCGUAGAUCAGCCAUGCUACGGUGAAUACGUUCCCGGGUCUUGUACUCACCGCCCGUCACACCAUGGGAGUUGAUUUCACUCGAAGCCGGAAUACUAAACUAGUUACCGUCCACAGUGGAAUCAGCGACUGGGGUGAAGUCGUAACAAGGUAACCGUAGGAGAACCUGCGGUUGGA